This 66-nucleotide transfer RNA is filed under the name Odoiporus longicollis (banana stem weevil). Its description in RNAcentral is "tRNA-Ala". Lineage: Eukaryota; Metazoa; Arthropoda; Insecta; Coleoptera; Curculionidae. The record is from RNAcentral.
AGGAUAAUAGUUUAAAAAAUAACAUUUAAUUUGCACUUAAAAAAUAUUGAUAAUCAAUUUAUCUUA